AGGAGGAAAAUUCUUCCAAGGAUGAUCUCCCACUCAGAGCUGAGGAAGCUUUUCUACUCAGCAGAUGCUGUGUGUUUUGAUGUUGACAGCACGGUCAUCAGUGAAGAAGGAAUCGGAUGCUUUCAUUGGAUUUGGAGGAAAUGUGAUCAGGCAACAAGUCAAGGAUAACGCCAAAUGGUAUAUCACUGAUUUUGUAGAGCUGCUGGGAGAACCGAAAGAAUAACAUCCAUUGUCAUACGGCUCCAAACAACUUCAGAUGAAUUUUUACAAGUUACACAGAUUGAUACUGUUUGCUUACAAUUGCCUAUUACAACUUGAUAUAGAAAGUUGGUACAGAUGAUCUGCACUGUCAAGUAAACUACAGUUAGGACUCCUCAAAGAUUGGUUUGUUUGUUUGUUUUUAACUGUAGUUCCAGUAUUAUAUGAUGACUAUUGAUUUCCUAGAGAGUUUUGUAAUCUGAAUUCUUUAUGUAUAUUCCUAGCUAUAUUUCAUACAAAGUGUUUUAAGAGUGGAGAGUCAAUUAAACACCUUUACUCUUAGGAAUAUAGAUUCGGCAGCCUUCAAUGAAUAUUGGUUUUUUUCCCUUUGGUAUGUCAAUAAAAGUUUAUCCAUGUGUCAGAACAGAUUUGUGGAAUUUGCAGUUCUGCCUCUCGGAUAUUGGAAUAUCCAAUAUUUCAGGUACUGUGUUGAAGCAUAAACAUCCCCCAGGCAAGAAACAGGCUUAAGACUUUGCUUAGUGCUGGGCACAAUGUCCUCACCCCAUGAGCCCA
Molecule: long non-coding RNA, 771 nt
Filed under: Pan troglodytes (chimpanzee)
Lineage: Eukaryota; Metazoa; Chordata; Mammalia; Primates; Hominidae
Description: long non-coding RNA NONPTRT015633
Source: RNAcentral